GGCCAGCAUCGAUUCGGAUGGCAAGAUAAUGACAGUUGAACGUGGCUCCUNGGAGUGUUAUAGCUUCUGUUGAUGUUGCCNAUCUGGAUNGAGGACUGCGUCUUUNUGACUAGGAUGCUGGNGUAAU
RNAcentral lists this ribosomal RNA (127 nucleotides) under Waltiozyma mucosa. RNAcentral's name for it is "Wickerhamomyces mucosus partial 26S rRNA". The record is from RNAcentral. Lineage: Eukaryota; Fungi; Ascomycota; Saccharomycetes; Phaffomycetales; Wickerhamomycetaceae.